CAAUAGCGUAUAUUAACGUUGUUGCAGUUAAAAAGCUCGUAGUUGGAUUUGUGGUUCGUCCCGCCGGCUGGGUCAUUGACUUUUGCUGUGCUGGUCGUCCAUCCUUGGGUGGAAUCUGUGUGGCAUUAGGUUGUCGCGCAGGGGAUGCCCAUCGUUUACUGUGAAAAAAUUAGAGUGUUCAAAGCAGGCUUAUGCCGUUGAAUAUAUUAGCAUGGAAUAAUGAUAUAGGACCUUGGUACUAUUUUGUUGGUUUGCGCAUCGAGGUAAUGAUUAAUAGGGACAGUUGGGGGUAUUCGUAUUCCAUUGUAAGAGGUGAAAUUCUUGGAUUUUUGGAAGACGAACUACUGCGAAAGCAUUUACCAAGGAUGUUUUCAUUAA
RNAcentral lists this ribosomal RNA (378 nucleotides) under uncultured eukaryote. RNAcentral's name for it is "partial 18S ribosomal RNA". It matches the Rfam family "Eukaryotic small subunit ribosomal RNA", at positions 592 to 976 of the family's 1831-position model. The record is from RNAcentral.